CGCGUAGGCACCAAGCGUUGUCCGGAUUUAUUGGGCGUAAAGAGCUCGUAGGCGGUUCGGUAAGUCGGGUGUGAAAACUUUGGGCUCAACCCAAAGCCUGCACUCGAUACUGCUGUGACUUGAGUCCGGUAGGGGAGUGGGGAAUUCCUGGUGUAGCGGUGGAAUGCGCAGAUAUCAGGAGGAACACCGGUGGCGAAGGCGCCACUCUGGGCCGGUACUGACGCUGAGGAGCGAAAGCGUGGGGAGCGAACAGG
RNAcentral lists this ribosomal RNA (254 nucleotides) under uncultured bacterium. RNAcentral describes it as "partial 16S ribosomal RNA". It matches the Rfam family "Bacterial small subunit ribosomal RNA", at positions 524 to 776 of the family's 1533-position model. The record is from RNAcentral.